CCAACUAGACUGGCUCUUCAUCAGAUUCAAGUCUUCGCAAACCGGCUCGCAGCGAAUCCUCAGAUAUGCCGGAACUGAUCGAGAUCAAGGUUUGAACUCGAGUGAUGCUCCAUCAAUGAAUCUAUGACUGCAUAAGAACGGUGAGAGAGUUGAGAGAGUUGUUGGCGAACUACGAAGGACCUCUCGGGUGGGUCUAUUUCUGGAACAGCAACAAUCCAAGGCAAAGUUUCGUGACAAUUACGGUACGAUGGUCCGUUGAUGGACCAUUAAUUGCACCUAGGCUAAUGGAUUAGUGGUAAAGUGAUACUUAAUGGGGAUUAUAAUUUAGGGGCGAUUUAGGGCCGAACACUGUCAUUAUACCUAGAACUC
RNAcentral lists this small RNA (369 nucleotides) under Histoplasma capsulatum. RNAcentral's name for it is "hypothetical RNA". The record is from RNAcentral. Lineage: Eukaryota; Fungi; Ascomycota; Eurotiomycetes; Onygenales; Ajellomycetaceae. RNAcentral also lists the same sequence under 1 other name.